This 445-nucleotide ribosomal RNA is filed under the name uncultured bacterium. RNAcentral's name for it is "SSU rRNA". It matches the Rfam family "Bacterial small subunit ribosomal RNA", at positions 26 to 518 of the family's 1533-position model. The record is from RNAcentral.
AGAAUGAACGCUGGCGGCAUGCCUAACACAUGCAAGUCGAACGAAGCCUUCGGGUUUAGUGGCGCACGGGUGCGUAACGCGUGGGAAUCUACCCCUUGGUUCGGAAUAACAGUUGGAAACGACUGCUAAUACCGGAUGAUGACGUAAGUCCAAAGAUUUAUCGCCGAGGGAUGAGCCCGCGUAGGAUUAGGUAGUUGGUGUGGUAAAGGCGCACCAAGCCGACGAUCCUUAGCUGGUCUGAGAGGAUGAUCAGCCACACUGGGACUGAGACACGGCCCAGACUCCUACGGGAGGCAGCAGUGGGGAAUAUUGGACAAUGGGCGAAAGCCUGAUCCAGCAAUGCCGCGUGAGUGAUGAAGGCCUUAGGGUUGUAAGCUCUUUUACCCGGGAUGAUAAUGACAGUACCGGGAGAAUAAGCUCCGGCUAACUCCGCGCCAGCAGCCGC